RNAcentral lists this ribosomal RNA (511 nucleotides) under uncultured microorganism. Its description in RNAcentral is "bacterial SSU rRNA". It matches the Rfam family "Bacterial small subunit ribosomal RNA", at positions 9 to 514 of the family's 1533-position model. The record is from RNAcentral.
GAGUUUGAUCCUGGCUCAGAUUGAACGCUGGCGGCAGGCCUAACACAUGCAAGUCGAGCGGAUGAAGGGAGCUUGCUCCUGGAUUCAGCGGCGGACGGGUGAGUAAUGCCUAGGAAUCUGCCUGGGUAGUGGGGAGUAACGUCCGGAAACGGGCGCUAAUACCGCAUACGUCCUGAGGGAGAAAGUGGGGGAGUCUUCGGACCUCACGCUAUCAGAUGAGCCUAGGUCGGAUUAGCUAGUUGGUGGGGUAGAGGCCUACCAAGGCGACGAUCCGUAACUGGUCUGAGAGGAUGAUCAGUCACACUGGAACUGAGACACGGUCCAGACUCCUACGGGAGGCAGCAGUGGGGAAUAUUGGACAAUGGGCGAAAGCCUGAUCCAGCCAUGCCGCGUGUGUGAAGAAGGUCUUCGGAUUGUAAAGCACUUUAAGUUGGGAGGAAGGGCAGUAAGUUAAUACCUUGCUGUUUUGACGUUACAACAGAAUAAGCACCGGCUAACUUCGUGCCAGCAG